GGGGUUCCAAGUAGGGAAAGUUAGAGAUAGAAGCUCCUCCUUCUCUCUAGAAUUUCUCCCCCCUCCCCUCCUCCUCCUCCUCCUUCCCCCCACACCUCUCCCAUCCCACUUUUGGCCUAUCCCUCUCUUCCCGUCCUUGAUCGGCCCACCCAUCCUCCUGGCCAUCCUUUACUUGAUUUCUACUUGAGGUCUCUCCGGCAUCUUCAAGUGUGACUUAACCCGAACAUUACCUUCUUGCUAUUGUGUUGGCAUAGUCUGGUGGCUACAUAGCAGAUUUUCCUAUUUUUCUUAAGUUAGUAGGGGAGUAUUCCUUGUUGGUUAGGUUGUUUGGAUCUGGUCUGGAGCCUUCCUCACUUCGGUGUUGCUGGGUUGAGGUUUUUGAUUUGGCUGAUUGUGUUAUUGGUUGCAGUGUUGGGGUUGUUAUUGGUUUAAAUUAAAGUUCUGCUUUAAUGGGUCUAACCAAUCAUCCUCCAUCUUCGGUCGUCGGUUCCUCCAUUUCAUCCGGCCCACCUACUCCCCCCUUCCUUUGCCAGGGGGUUUAGAUUUUGAUGCUUUGGUCUGGUGUUGGCCUUGGUAGAUGAUGGCUUCAGAUCUGAUUUUAUGUGACUAUUGAUUAUCUUGUCCUUUAAUCUGAUUUGUGUUGUUGGUGAUUCAUUUGCAGAUUAGUUUGGGAUUUAUUGCCUUUUUAUCUGUUAAGGGAUUCAUGGUUGCUCUCGCCGGAUCUGAUUUGGCGGCCUCCAUUUUAGUUUGAUUGAGGAAGCUUUGUCCGACUAAUUUGGUGUAGGCUUUCUUGCCAGAAUCCAUGGAGUUUCUGCUCUCUUUGGUGUUGUCCGGAUACUUGCUGUCGAUCUGCCGGAGAUGGAUGUAUCAGCUGCUAUCGCUAGUUGCUCUCUAGCAGGUCUCGAGUUCAUGAGGCUGCUUUGGGGUUGAUGCAGUUGUGGUCUAUUGCUUUUCCUACAUUUGGGCCCCACUUAAUUUUAAAUUUGAAUUUUUUCUAUUGGGCCAAAUGACUGGUGGUUUGCUAAUUUAUUUUAGCUAAAUGUUGGUCACGUGGACUUUGUGGUUUGAUGUUUUAUUGGUAUUACCACAUGCGCUGAUUAUCUUAAGAUGGUGGGCUUAUUUGGCUCACUGGCUUUGUUUCUCGGAUGGGCUUUGGGCCUAUUCCGUGUUUUUUUGUGUUUCAUUUGCCUAACCUCGUGUUGUGAGGAAAAUGUAAUUUAGGUUAGGUAAAUUGAUCCUAGGCUUUACUAGGUGUUUUAGCCCUCUCGGGAGAAGAGGUAUAUGAUCUGAUCUUCAUUGUAAUAUCCUUAUUUUUUGCAUUUAAUACACAAACAAAUUUAGCAAAAAAAAAAAAAGACUCGGCUUUGGAAUCAAUAAUUGAAAUUAGGAUUGGAGGAACAUCUGAGGGUCACAAGACCAUGAACUAUGUCCUAGGUUAUCAAGUAUCUCUACUUAAACCUUUAACAGUCAUAAGACUAUAUGGACCUUUCUUCUUGUACUUAGGGGGUGGACACCGGGAAUUUUCCUAUCGCGUUCUCUACCCUUUAUGUGUUCUAUGUUUGAUUUUUUUUACUUGCUUAAAGGUGAGAUUUUUGGAAAGACCGACAUACAAUGUUGACUAUUUGAAAAGUUUGAUUUUAAUGAUUAGGCCGAAUUAGACAGAGCCGCUAGUUGGUAUGAGUUUAAAUGGUUGUACAAACUCAACCAGAGUUUGAAAGGUUUUUGAAAUAUGG
Molecule: long non-coding RNA, 1733 nt
Filed under: Panax ginseng (ginseng)
Lineage: Eukaryota; Viridiplantae; Streptophyta; Magnoliopsida; Apiales; Araliaceae
Description: long non-coding RNA (PGIN_LNC005226)
Source: RNAcentral